Molecule: ribosomal RNA, 497 nt
Filed under: uncultured bacterium
Lineage: Bacteria
Description: partial 16S ribosomal RNA
Rfam family: Bacterial small subunit ribosomal RNA
Source: RNAcentral
GAUGAACGCUGGCGGCGUGCCUAAUACAUGCAAGUAGAACGCUGAAGGAAGGAGCUUGCUCUUUCCGGAUGAGUUGCGAACGGGUGAGUAACGCGUAGGUAACCUGCCUGGUAGCGGGGGAUAACUAUUGGAAACGAUAGCUAAUACCGCAUAACAGUAGAUGUUGCAUGAUAUCUACUUAAAAGGUGCAAUUGCACCACUACCAGAUGGACCUGCGUUGUAUUAGCUAGUUGGUGAGGUAACGGCUCACCAAGGCGACGAUACAUAGCCGACCUGAGAGGGUGAUCGGCCACACUGGGACUGAGACACGGCCCAGAAUCCUACGGGAGGCAGCAGUAGGGAAUCUUCGGCAAUGGACGGAAGUCUGACCGAGCAACGCCGCGUGAGUGAAGAAGGUUUUCGGAUCGUAAAGCUCUGUUGUAAGAGAAGAACGAGUGUGAGAGUGGGAAGUUCACACUGUGACGGUAUCUUACCAGAAAGGGACGGCUAACUACGUG